GACAGAGGGUGCAAACGUUGUUCGGAAUUACUGGGCGUAAAGCGUGUGUAGGCGGUCCACUAAGUCGGGUGUGAAAGCCCUGGGCUCAACCCAGGAAGUGCACUCGAAACUGGCGGGCUAGAGUAUCGGAGAGGUUGGUGGAAUUCUCGGUGUAGAGGUGAAAUUCGUAGAUAUCGAGAGGAACACCGGUGGCGAAGGCGGCAUCCUGGACCAACACUGACACUGAUGAGCGAAAGCCAGGGGAGCAAACGGG
This 253-nucleotide ribosomal RNA is filed under the name uncultured bacterium. Its description in RNAcentral is "partial 16S ribosomal RNA". It matches the Rfam family "Bacterial small subunit ribosomal RNA", at positions 524 to 776 of the family's 1533-position model. The record is from RNAcentral.